RNAcentral lists this ribosomal RNA (253 nucleotides) under uncultured bacterium. RNAcentral's name for it is "partial 16S ribosomal RNA". It matches the Rfam family "Bacterial small subunit ribosomal RNA", at positions 524 to 776 of the family's 1533-position model. The record is from RNAcentral.
UACGUAGGGUGCAAGCGUUGUCCGGAAUUAUUGGGCGUAAAGAGCUCGUAGGCGGCCUACUAAGUCGGACGUGAAAUCCCUCGGCUCAACCGGGGAACUGCGUCCGAUACUGGUGGGCUCGAAUCCGGGAGAGGGAUGUGGAAUUCCAGGUGUAGCGGUGAAAUGCGUAGAUAUCUGGAGGAACACCGGUGGCGAAGGCGGCAUCCUGGACCGGUAUUGACGCUGAUGCGCGAAAGCCAGGGGAGCAAACGGG